UCUGUGACUCUCAGCUAGCUACACAGAGAACAUCUGAAGUGAUGGUGAUUUCCACCGUGGAGUGAGAAUGAGGAGUUAAGCAGGUAUGUUCUCUGGUUCUCUGCUGUAUUUGCUGUGGUGGUGUAGCAGCUUUUGUUCACAAGCACUGCCAAUCAGGAUUGGGACCUGUGGCAUGGAGGAGGCAACAGGGGACACAGCCAGGACAGCUGACCCAGGCUGGCCAGAGGGAUGUCCCACACCAUGUGCCAUCAUGCUCAACAAUAAAACCUGGGGUAAAGGAGGAGGAAGAGGGGUAUGUUCCGGGUGAUGGUGUUUGUCUUCCCAAGAAGCCAUAUGUGUGACAAGCCCUGCUGUCCUGGAGGUGGCUGACACCUGCCUGCUGAUGGGAAAUAAAUAUUGGCAUGAUACAACAUUUGUGACGGACUUUCUCCACAAAUAACAAAUAUGUGGCUGCAGAUAUUACGUCUCUUAACCUUGUCUGUUCUUGUACCUGAGAGUCGCCACAACAGAUCAGUUGUUGCAUAGGAACGGCUGCUGACAUCCAACCCAUUUUCUUCACCCUAGUUACACGAUCACUAUCGCCCCAGAAGGGACUUAUCUGGUUCACUUGCUGGCGUAGCCGCUUAAAGAUUGAAGUCAUUAAUGCGUUGUGCCUCUGUCCUCUGCUACGCAUUUGGGGGAAAGGCCCAUCCUUGCUGUGCCAGUCUGGAGUAAAACUGUGCAGAAGAUACAGGCAUGCGGGAAUGAAAAGCCCCUGUGGGAAUGAAAAGCCACUGUAUUCUUAGAAAUGGAUGGUCUCUGGAAGUGGUGAAUGUCAGCGGUCAGUCAUCUCAGCCCACUUCAUAUGCCAGACGUGGGAGGAUACACCCACACUUGUUAGCUGCUAUAUAGGAAUAGGCUAAUUUAGCAUCACUUGACUGCUUUCUUUUAAACACUAUGAACACUGUGCUCUUUCUUUUUUUUUUUUCCUUUUUUUUUUUUUUUUUUUUUUCUCGGAGGGGAAUGCCAGACUUGACUAACAAAGACAAGAACAGACUAAAUGUUUCCUUAACAGGAAGCCACUAGCUCUCCGCUUUGCAAGUGGGGAGGGAAAGCCUUUAAAAUGCUUCGAACUUUCUUAAGCAAAUUUCAGUUAAACACAAGUAAAACUUUUGGGAGAACAUCCCUAGGAAAACCUAUUCCAUUGGAAACUGAGACCCUCAGUUGCUUCCCAAAUGCGAAUGUGGUCUCUCAGUAAUUAUAAAUGCACAGUACACAAAACUGUGCAGCACCACACAAAAAUAUAAGGGGGAGGAGGGAGGGAGAAGGAGGAAGAUUUCAUGUUUCCCAAGAAUUUGAGGUGUUGUUCCACAGUUUUCAUCUGGUCUGAUUUUGGCUUCAUCAUUUCUAAGAAAAGCACUAGAAGAGCUUUGAAGCAAAGUCAGGGCAUUAAAAGGCAAAGUAUCACACUCCCACUACAGGAACAUGACAAUUUCUCAGCUGAAGGCAUUUAUUACAGCUGUAGCCAGAAAACUAAUAUUUGAUUGGCUGCUCUAAAUAUCUACAUAUAUAAACACCAUUAUAAAAUUUACCAAGGAAAAUUCAAGGAUAUUUUCUAACUGCUUGUCUUUCUCACAUACACUAGGAAGACCAGUUCUAUCUUCACAUUUUUCUGUCUUGGACUUGGGACCUGUUUGUCUCCUUUCUUUGUGAUCUUGGUUGUGCUAGUCACAUCACGUAAAGAUAAGCACAUGUGAAGGGGCUGAGGCCUUAGUCAGUGGCAAGAUAUAAUCAGAGGGUAAAAGAGAAUAAGUGAUAAGUGAGAGAUGGGCCAUUGUUUGCAGAUAGUGUUCUCCUGCCCUCAUGUUAAAAAGAAGUCUUAACAGAUGGGGAGCACUUCAGGUGAAUUAAGAGGCACUGCAGCUUGUGUAAUGGUUUUCCUAGAAAAAUGAGUGUCAGUACCAAGCUCUCUUUCCUGGACCGCUGCCUGUCUCUCAAUGAGAGGCACAGAAAAUGGUUCAGAUGGCUUCCACUGGACUUGGUGGGACAGCUUGCAAAGGGACAAGUGUCUCGGUGUGUGUGUCAGGUUGUCUUAAAUCUGCACUGGCUGGCACAUACAGCCCAAGCUGAAGAUUGUGUCUGGCCUGGUGGCUGUCAGAGACCAGCCUGGGGCUGUGCUUUUACACAGGACAGCAUCUGGUGGUCCUAAGGAGGUGACACCACAGCUGAGGAUCAGGACAGCAGAGCUGUGUAGGCAUGUGCCUUCCCUUCACCUCCUUAGUGUGAGAGACCUGGGCUGUGGUCUUGGUUCUGCUGUGGCAUCUCUCUAACUCAGUUUCCUCCUCUGUCGAAUGAAAAUAAAGAAGCUGCUCUCCUCUGUCGACCCUCCCGAGCGCUGCGGAUGACAGCGGUACGCAAGGAAGAGGAAUUGUCAGGCAGCUUGAGGGCAGCACACAGCUCUGGCACGCCACGAUCGGCAGCGUGCUGGGUGCAGUGUUGUGCCGUGUUGUGUUACCAUGCGCUGGGGCGAGGAUCAAGCUGCGUAGAUGCAGUGACAGCUGUAGUCCUGCUCAGAUAAGGAGAGAAAUGGCCCGAGUUGCCUUGGCAACACUCGCUUUGCUUAUCUUCUUGAGUAAACGGCAACUUUUAUCCAUGCAGCUGACA
This is a long non-coding RNA of Anas platyrhynchos (mallard), 2643 nucleotides long. RefSeq lists it as uncharacterized. NCBI's taxonomy places the organism in Eukaryota, Metazoa, Chordata, Aves, Anseriformes, Anatidae. The record is from RefSeq and is a predicted model, not a curated record.